This 44-nucleotide ribosomal RNA is filed under the name Bradyrhizobium sp. Am2c. RNAcentral's name for it is "partial 23S ribosomal RNA". Lineage: Bacteria; Pseudomonadati; Pseudomonadota; Alphaproteobacteria; Hyphomicrobiales; Nitrobacteraceae. The record is from RNAcentral.
AAUCAAGUGCCUUAAGGGUGUUCGGUGGAUGCCUUGGCGCUGAG